GACUCGUUAGUUCAGUUGGGAGAACGCUUGCUUGACAGGCAAGAGGUCGUUGGUUCGAGUCCAAUACGAGUCA
Molecule: transfer RNA, 73 nt
Filed under: Cytobacillus firmus
Lineage: Bacteria; Bacillati; Bacillota; Bacilli; Caryophanales; Bacillaceae
Description: tRNA-Val
Rfam family: tRNA
About the family: Transfer RNA (tRNA) molecules are approximately 80 nucleotides in length. Their secondary structure includes four short double-helical elements and three loops (D, anti-codon, and T loops).
Source: RNAcentral